AUCCGCCAGGGAUAGCUCAACUGGUAGAGCCUUCGGCGCGUAACUAAAUGAUCCAAGUUCGAAUCCCGGUCUGGACU
RNAcentral lists this transfer RNA (77 nucleotides) under Cotesia glomerata. RNAcentral's name for it is "tRNA-Thr". The record is from RNAcentral. Lineage: Eukaryota; Metazoa; Arthropoda; Insecta; Hymenoptera; Braconidae.